Molecule: ribosomal RNA, 332 nt
Filed under: uncultured bacterium
Lineage: Bacteria
Description: bacterial SSU rRNA
Rfam family: Bacterial small subunit ribosomal RNA
Source: RNAcentral
CGUGUAGGUGGUCUGAUAAGUCAGGUGUGAAAGCUCCUGGCUCAACCAGGGAAGUGCACUUGAAACUAUCAGACUUGAGUACGGGAGGGGGAAGUGGAAUUCCUGGUGUAGAGGUGAAAUUCGUAGAUAUCAGGAGGAAUACCGGUGGCGAAGGCGACUUCCUGGACCGAUACUGACACUGAGACGCGAAAGCGUGGGGAGCAAACAGGAUUAGAUACCCUGGUAGUCCACGCCAUAAACGAUGGGCACUAGGUGUAGCGGGUAUUGACCCCUGCUGUGCCGAAGCUAACGCAUUAAGUGCCCCGCCUGGGGAGUACGGCCGCAAGGCUAAA